AUUAUGCAAGCAGCUAGAUUAAGGGCUGGUAUAUUGCAGAUUUUUGGGCUCAAAAUCAUCAGAAAUGUGCCCUAUGGAGGCUUUCAAGGCCUUCCUUAGAAUUUCAAGGGCCACCAUGGCUCACCAGUAGUGUUACGGUGCAACGGGGGCUCUGCAGUUUGGACUCUCCUAUCUAGAAGGCUCAGCAGGUCAUUCUGCCAAUACCCCUGCAUUCCACAUCCUUGGGGACCAUGUCUGGAUGGCUCUGAUGUGUCCCAUCUUAGUGGAACAGCACCACAAGGCGUCCUUCCUUCGCUGUAAGGAAGCCAGAGAGACCUCUGAAGUCUUCUCGCCAUCCCUGGUUCAUCCAUGGGAAGGUUUGUGACCACAGGGUAGCCUUUCUCUCUCUUGGGACUUCGAGACUUUGGCAGAAUAAUGUGAGGAUGAAAUAAAUGAUUGGUGUUUGUUUGGUGGUAGCACUGGAACAGAUGGUGAAGGAACUAUUAUGCCUGAUCUAAAGAUAGCUGGUUCCUGUCUGUUCCCAGCCUAGUUCUUUAAAACUUCCCUUCAAAUCCUUGAACCCCCCAACAUCCUUUCCAUACAUUAUCUUUCUUCAUGGGCUUGCAAGAGUAGGUGGCUUGUAACAAAACCACCUCAGCUAAUGUGGGUCCAUGAUGCCAAUCACCUCAUUCUAAUUGUAGUGGCAGCAGAUAUAACUCUGGGAUUUAGAGACUAAGGCUUCUACACAAAUGACAUGGUAUUUGGCACAUUCUAAGGGACAAGGCUCAUGUUCAGGGAUGGGGCCUACUGAUCUGUAUGGAAAUGACAACUCAUGCCUGCAAAAUGGAAAAUCAAUAAAAAUUAUUCUGCGAUCUCACAAAAAGUUCCCAAAUUUUCUAGAGCUAUCCAGGAAUUUCUCUGGGAAGGAGCAAAGAUAAGGCUGGCUCCGCUCUGUCAGGCAGCAGCUGUAAUAAUGAGCCAACAGCUUCAGCUCAUCUGUCAUUUGGGCCAGGAGCACUGCCAAGUUUCUAAAGAAUUUCAUGUUUUCUUUUCCCAGAGGUAAAGAGUGGAACUGACCAGACUCCAUCUAGUAGUCUUAGGCAUAUACUAAGGAAUGUUGAAACCCAUGCCUCACACAGUUUAAUGAUGGCCAAAGACAGGCCUGGCCAGGGUUGGCUUAAAUAAAGAUGGGGACUCUAGAGUUGGGAUUUCUGAGGCUGGAAGAACAGGUAAAGGUCUAAAAUUCUAGGAGAUAAACCCAAAGAAACACCAAAUAUGUGGAGUCAAUGCAGGUGUAGAAAGCUUGCCACAGGUGUUCAGAGAUAAGAGCAAAGGCAAGUGAGCCAGGAGCAGUGAGGCAGCAGGGAGCCCUUGCUGAGUGACUGCCCGGAACAUCCAGUUGUCACUUGCAACUGAUUUUUGCAGGUUAGUCCAUCUCUUGUGCCUAGAUGGAUUCAGAGUCAUGAACAGAGCAGACAAAAGAGACAGUAAAAGCAAGAAAUAUAGAUUCUGGGUGAAUCUUCAGCAACACAGGCCCCUAUGAAGGAAACCAUCUGAGCAAUGGCCUGGUGGCCCUUCACUACUGUGAAACAGUCUAGACAUGAGUCCAGUGAGCUGGGGGCUCUGACACCAAUCAGCUCUGUGACCGUGUCUUAUAAUCAUUGGGCCUCAGUUUUAUCUUCUGAGAAUAUCUCCUCCACCUACUUUGUAGGGUUAUUGCAAAGAUCAGAUACAUCAUAAAAAUGUCAGAAAUCAUAAGAAAUCUGAAAAUGCUGCAGAAACCUAAGAGCAUCGUCAAGAUUUUCUCUCUUCUCUCUCUUUUUUUUUUUUUUUUUUGAGAUGGAGUCUUGCUCUGUUGCCCAGGUUGGAGUGCAGUGGCGCGAUCUCAGCUCACUGCAACCUCCACCUCCUGGGUUCAAGCGAUUCUCAUGCCUCAGCCUCCUGAGUAAGCUGGGACUACAGGUGCACACCACCAUGCCUGGCUAAUUUUUGUGUUUUAGUAGAGACGGGGUUUUGCCAUGCUGGCGAGUCUGGUCUCGAAGUCUUCACCUCAAGUGAUCCUCCCACCUUGGCCUCCCAAAGUGCUGGGAUUACAGGCGUGAACCACCGUGCCCAGCCUAGAUCUUCUCUUUUAAAUUGAAAAACUAAUGUUUUUUUAUUUGCCAGUCUUGUCUGCAGAGUUCAAAGUUUUCAAAAAGCAUUAUUUUCUUGAGAGAAACUGACAUUUCACAGACCUCUGUUAGGAAAUCAAUUGAAGAGGCCAGCAAACUUGCUAUUUUUAAUGUGGGAAGUGAGCUAACGCACCUGACUCCCUACAGCCAUCGCUGUGACUUAAAGAGAAAAUGCUCUUCGGUUGUAGGUUAUGGCUUUUCUAGUGGCUGUUACAAAGGGAGUCCCUCCAACUGAGCCACAUCAGCUCUAAAACACAGUGAUAUCUGGGGUGUGUUCAGUGGAUAGAGCCAUUGUGAACCCCAGAGCUCUGUGGACACUAAUUGGGUUUCGUUUUGUCAUUGAAUUUAGUCUGGAUUCCGGAUUUAAUGUUGAGAGCACCGUCCUUGCAUGGUACCUCUAAACAGACAAAAACAGCUAGAAUAUUGUAGCAAUAAUAUCUUAUAUUUACUAAGGGUUUUUAAUUUUACAAAGCAGUUUUACAUUUUUUCUGCCUGGGUAACUCUCAAGCUACAAAUAAGCUAUGCGCCACAAAUUUGACUCUAAAUUGGUUAUUGCCAUUCAGAAUGCAUUUCCCCAGUUCAAGUGUGGUCAGUUAACUGUUUGAGUUCUGGGUCCUGGGGCAGGACACAAUGUGGUCAAGGAGUGAAGAAGAGAAAGAAGAAGAACAUCUCCUCCUUCCCUCUUGUACACAUCCGAAGCUUGGUGAAAAAAAUUCAAAUGGAAACAGUCUUCAGAAUCUUCCUUUAACCAUUCCUGAGCCCUUCUGUUGUCUCCCCAACCCUUUCUUUCCAGGCUCCUGUGCACAGACCUUACACAAACUCCAUCCCUGGGAUGGUGCAGAAGGCCUCUGGCCAUCAAGCCUGCUCCCCCCAACAUGUAUGUGAAAAACAGCCCUGUGACACUGCUUCCCAAUUUGAAUCCUUCAGACUGGCUGCUGCCAUCUCCAUCCUACAUGUGGUUGCCUUUGUAUUACUGUUUGCACUUUGUACUACUGUUAGUGUAACUUCUCCACAUCCAACUGUAGACCCCACUGAGAUCAAGGACUAAGCCAUAUUCAUCUUUGCAAACUUCCCUCUUGAUUCCUUUUUCAGUCACAGCUCAGAGCACAGUGAUUUGCUAAUUAUUAAAAAUAUUGACAUAAAAAUAAAAAUAAAUAUAUCCCCU
This 3315-nucleotide non-coding RNA is filed under the name Pongo abelii (Sumatran orangutan). Lineage: Eukaryota; Metazoa; Chordata; Mammalia; Primates; Hominidae. The record is from RNAcentral.